AGAUUAAAUGAAACAAGCCAAGGUCACACUUUAUAUGUCCCCAUGUCCUCCAUGUCUGCACAAUCAAGACUGCUGCAAGACCAACAUGACUUACCACUGAAAUUAUACUGCAAACAACUGAAAUAUAUCUUUAUAUUACUAUUUAGACCUGGUCAAGGG
Chinchilla lanigera (long-tailed chinchilla) is the source of this 159-nucleotide long non-coding RNA. RefSeq lists it as uncharacterized. NCBI's taxonomy places the organism in Eukaryota, Metazoa, Chordata, Mammalia, Rodentia, Chinchillidae. The record is from RefSeq and is a predicted model, not a curated record. The transcript is spliced from 2 exons.